RNAcentral lists this ribosomal RNA (253 nucleotides) under uncultured bacterium. RNAcentral describes it as "partial 16S ribosomal RNA". It matches the Rfam family "Bacterial small subunit ribosomal RNA", at positions 524 to 776 of the family's 1533-position model. The record is from RNAcentral.
GACGAACCGUGCGAACGUUAUUCGGAAUCACUGGGCUUAAAGCGCGUGUAGGCGGCCAAGCAAGUCGGAUGUGAAAGCCCUCGGCUCAACCGGGGAAGUGCACUCGAAACUGCAUGGCUAGAGUCUCGGAGAGGAUCGUGGAAUUCUCGGUGUAGAGGUGAAAUUCGUAGAUAUCGAGAGGAACACCGGUGGCGAAGGCGGCGAUCUGGACGAUGACUGACGCUGAGAUGCGAAAGCGUGGGUAGCAAACAGG